AUCUUUCUAGUAUCAAACUAAUACAACGGACUUCCAAUCCCUUAAUCUUGGUUAAAAUCCAAGGAAAGAUA
RNAcentral lists this transfer RNA (71 nucleotides) under Kaupichthys hyoproroides (false moray). RNAcentral's name for it is "tRNA-Gly". It matches the Rfam family "tRNA". From Rfam's summary of the family: Transfer RNA (tRNA) molecules are approximately 80 nucleotides in length. Their secondary structure includes four short double-helical elements and three loops (D, anti-codon, and T loops). The record is from RNAcentral. Lineage: Eukaryota; Metazoa; Chordata; Actinopteri; Anguilliformes; Chlopsidae.